GGAGAGGUGGCAGAGUGGUCGAAUGCGCCUGACUCGAAAUCAGGUUUGGGGCAACCCAACGGGAGUUCGAAUCUCCCCCUCUCCG
Molecule: transfer RNA, 85 nt
Filed under: Tildeniella nuda ZEHNDER 1965/U140
Lineage: Bacteria; Bacillati; Cyanobacteriota; Cyanophyceae; Oculatellales; Oculatellaceae
Also listed under: 7 other names
Description: tRNA-Ser
Rfam family: tRNA
About the family: Transfer RNA (tRNA) molecules are approximately 80 nucleotides in length.
Source: RNAcentral